RNAcentral lists this ribosomal RNA (497 nucleotides) under uncultured bacterium. Its description in RNAcentral is "partial 16S ribosomal RNA". It matches the Rfam family "Bacterial small subunit ribosomal RNA", at positions 28 to 507 of the family's 1533-position model. The record is from RNAcentral.
GAUGAACGCUGGCGGCGUGCCUAAUACAUGCAAGUCGAGCGGACGGACGAGAAGCUUGCUUCUCUGAUGUUAGCGGCGGACGGGUGAGUAACACGUGGAUAACCUACCUAUAAGACUGGGAUAACUUCGGGAAACCGGAGCUAAUACCGGAUAAUAUUUUGAACCGCAUGGUUCAAAAGUGAAAGACGGUCUUGCUGUCACUUAUAGAUGGAUCCGCGCUGCAUUAGCUAGUUGGUAAGGUAACGGCUUACCAAGGCAACGAUGCAUAGCCGACCUGAGAGGGUGAUCGGCCACACUGGAACUGAGGCACGGUCCAGACUCCUACGGGAGGCAGCAGUAGGGAAUCUUCCGCAAUGGGCGAAAGCCUGACGGAGCAACGCCGCGUGAGUGAUGAAGGUCUUCGGAUCGUAAAACUCUGUUAUUAGGGAAGAACAUAUGUGUAAGUAACUGUGCACAUCUUGACGGUACCUAAUCAGAAAGCCACGGCUAACUACGUG